UAUAUACUCCUUCCGUCUAGAAUUACUUGUCAUAGAAAUAGAUUGAUCUAGACCUAUUUUUAGUUCUAGAUACAUCCAUUUUUAGCCAUUUCUGCGACAAGUAAUUCAAGACGGAAGUAACCC
This is a non-coding RNA of Triticum aestivum (bread wheat), 123 nucleotides long. The record is from Rfam. NCBI's taxonomy places the organism in Eukaryota, Viridiplantae, Streptophyta, Magnoliopsida, Poales, Poaceae.